AUCGAACGCUGGCGGCAGGCCUAACACAUGAAAGUCGAACGGUAACAGGAAGCAUCUUGGUGCUUUGCUGACGAGUGGCGGGUGGGUAAGUAAUGUCUGGGAAACUGUCCGAUGGAGGGGGAUAACUACUGACAGGGGUAGCUAAUACCGCGUAACGUCUCAAGACCGAAGGGGGGGGCCUUGUGUCCUCUGGCCGUCGGAGGUGCCCAGAUGGGAUUAGCUAGUAGGUGGGAUAGCGGCUCACCUGGGGGACGAUCCCUAGCUGGUAUGAGAGCAUGAACCGGGACACUGGAAGUGAGACACGGCAGAGACACCUAGGGGAGGCAGCGGUGGGGAAUAUUGCACGAUGGGGGCAAGCCUGAUGCAGGCAUGCCGGGUGUAUGCAGAAGGCCCUCGGGUUGUAAAGUACUUUCAGCGGGGAGGAAGGGAGUCACGUUAAUACCUGUGCUCAUUGACGUUACCGGCAGAAGAAGCACCGGCUAACUCCGUG
This 490-nucleotide ribosomal RNA is filed under the name uncultured bacterium. RNAcentral's name for it is "partial 16S ribosomal RNA". It matches the Rfam family "Bacterial small subunit ribosomal RNA", at positions 29 to 507 of the family's 1533-position model. The record is from RNAcentral.